Molecule: long non-coding RNA, 219 nt
Filed under: Astyanax mexicanus (Mexican tetra)
Lineage: Eukaryota; Metazoa; Chordata; Actinopteri; Characiformes; Acestrorhamphidae
Description: lncRNA (ENSAMXG00005005755.1)
Source: RNAcentral
UAUUAUUCUUUUCUUUAAAAAAAAAACCCAUAUCAGAACCAGAGCAGAGGACUCAGAUACUCAAAGUAAUACAGGGCUGCCAGAGCUCCGGCAGGCACUGUGUGGGCUUCAGUAGCAGAGUCGUCGUGCAGGCUGCGCCCAAAAAGGUGUGUCACCUUUUCCUUUUUCACAAUAGAAACAGAGGCUUGUGUGAGGCUUCACACCAUCAACUGCUGUAAU